This 253-nucleotide ribosomal RNA is filed under the name uncultured bacterium. RNAcentral describes it as "partial 16S ribosomal RNA". It matches the Rfam family "Bacterial small subunit ribosomal RNA", at positions 524 to 776 of the family's 1533-position model. The record is from RNAcentral.
GACGUAGGGUGCGAGCGUUGUCCGGAUUUAUUGGGCGUAAAGAGCUCGUAGGCGGCUCGUCGCGUCGACCGUGAAAACCCGCGGCUUAACUGCGGGCUUGCGGUUGAUACGGGCGGGCUAGAGUUCGGUAGGGGAGACUGGAAUUCCUGGUGUAGCGGUGAAAUGCGCAGAUAUCAGGAGGAACACCGGUGGCGAAGGCGGAUCUCUGGGCCGAUACUGACGCUGAUGCGCGAAAGCGUGGGGAGCGAACAGG